Megalobrama amblycephala (Wuchang bream) is the source of this 904-nucleotide long non-coding RNA. RefSeq lists it as uncharacterized. The record is from RefSeq and is a predicted model, not a curated record. The transcript has 3 exons. Lineage: Eukaryota; Metazoa; Chordata; Actinopteri; Cypriniformes; Xenocyprididae.
GUGUGUGUGUGUGUGUGUGUGUGUGUGUGUGUGUGUGUGUGUGUGUGUGUGAGUGAGUGAUUAAGUGUCCUUAAUAUUUAUUUUGUUUUGUUUUUUAUUAUUUGUUUCCAUUUUAAUGGUUGUGUAUAUUUCAAAUGAGAAGACGCCCAUCUGCCAACGUCCUGUAGUGAGAACUUGUCUUUAGUGGCUUUAUAAAAAGCAUGUCCAAGUGUGGCAUUUUGAUUCUUCUCCUGUGUGCAUGUUGUGUGGGCAGAAAAGGUCUUUCGGCUUAUAUUUCCUGUCGCUUUUCCCUGGAUAUGCGUGAGUGAAGUGACGAGUGCAGGUAGCAUAAAGUUACAAUAGUCUAACAAUCUCGCUUGUGAGGUGCGGCUUAAGAGCGCAAGCUGCUGUUUUAUAGAUCUGUUUUAUAGGUCUGUUUCAUAUACCCAUUUCAUAUUGCUGUUUCACCGUCUUGUGGUACGACUGUGUGGAUGUUGCGGUUUUGAACCAUUGAUUUACAGAGUGUUUUUAAGAUUAUUCUGCCCAAUUGAUCUGUAUGAUAUAUUUGUAUAUUUUUGUAUUUUGUGCAAGUAUAUUAAACCAACAUGCUUUGUAUUCUUGUUCAGUGAAGCAGCUUGGACGAUUUUUAAAUAUUAAUUGUGAAUUACCUAUUGUGUUUUGGCUGUCUUUGUAUUUUUAUUUUUAUUUUGUUUUUAACAAAAUUUAGUUUUAUUUUGUCUCUUGUUUUUGGCUUAUCACUUGCUUUAAUUAUUGUUAUGCACCGAUUUGCUGUGUGGUUUGUCCCUUCUGUUAAAGUGGAUCUAAUCUAGUCUCUUAUUAUUGUGGGUAAAUAACUGGUAAACUGUAAAUGUUUUUUAGAACAUUUUAGAGUAAAUGAUUUUUGCUAAAUAAAUUUGUACUAUUU